GUGCUGAGGUAGUUCUUUCGGGUUCUGAGAACUCGGGUAGUCAUGGCAACACAGAAGGGUGGGGUGGGUGAGGUGGGGGUUCCUAGCAGCAUUUCGUUUCAAAUGCCAGAUUAAAGGGAAAACUUCUUUGGAGUUUGCCUCGGCUCUGCUGACAAGGACUGAGAGUGGAAAUGGAGGAUAUGAGGUGGAAGCAAGGCCCUUUGUGAGGAGACCGACACAACCUCCAGACCAUGAAAAGCCAGGCGAUGUGUUAAGAUCUCUAGAAGGAAAAAAGAAGACCUUCUUGGAGCAGAGACGGAGCUAACAAAAAAAGAGUUUUAGCAACGCCGCAUGGUCUUUGAAUACAUUUUUCUCAGCUCAAAAAAACCAUUCCCU
RNAcentral lists this long non-coding RNA (375 nucleotides) under Mustela putorius furo (domestic ferret). Its description in RNAcentral is "lncRNA (ENSMPUG00000029770.1)". The record is from RNAcentral. Lineage: Eukaryota; Metazoa; Chordata; Mammalia; Carnivora; Mustelidae.